UGACCGAAUGAUCUCCUUUCAGAUGUGGCUCAACUCAGGGGCCUACCGGGUCGACGAUGGAGCCGGCUCCUUCCCCCUCUGCAGCGCUGGCCGUACCGCGAGGCUCCAGCGUCACAUAACCAGUCCUGGGGAGUUUGGACGCGUCCCAGGGUGAACAAAGGUUCUCGUGCUGAUGGAUUCUUCUAUCCGCUGGAGGCUUCCUGUUCUGUGCUCCACUGAGAAAUCUUCAGAGUAAAGAAGAGGUGCUAUCACCAGUGGCCUGCUUGUUGAUUCAAAGGUCCAGCACCUUGGAGCCCAGAGUGAUUCCAGGGAAACGAAGGUGAAUUCCAGGCUGAAGCUACUGGUCUGAAGAAAGAACAGAUGCAUGUAAAUAAAUGGACUCCAGUAUUGCAGGAUGUCAGAAGUGAAAUCUUCAAAUCCCCCUUCCUAAUAAAGCUGCUUUCCUUCUUAA
This is a long non-coding RNA of Lepus europaeus (European hare), 451 nucleotides long. RefSeq lists it as uncharacterized. The transcript is spliced from 9 exons. NCBI's taxonomy places the organism in Eukaryota, Metazoa, Chordata, Mammalia, Lagomorpha, Leporidae. The record is from RefSeq and is a predicted model, not a curated record.